Molecule: ribosomal RNA, 604 nt
Filed under: uncultured Actinomycetes bacterium
Lineage: Bacteria; Bacillati; Actinomycetota; Actinomycetes
Description: bacterial SSU rRNA
Rfam family: Bacterial small subunit ribosomal RNA
Source: RNAcentral
CGAUGAAGUGGAGCUUGCUCCACGGAUUAGUGGCGAACGGGUGAGUAACACGUGAAUAACCUGCCCUCAAUUUCGGAAUAACCCAGGGAAACCUGGGCUAAUACCGGAUACGUAAACCUGUGGCAUCACAUGGUUUUGGAAAGUUUUUCGAUUGAGGAUGGAUUCGCGGCCUAUCAGCUUGUUGGUGAGGUAAUGGCUCACCAAGGCGACGACGGGUAGCCGGCCUGAGAGGGUGGACGGCCACACUGGGACUGAGACACGGCCCAGACUCCUACGGGAGGCAGCAGUGGGGAAUAUUGCGCAAUGGACGAAAGUCUGACGCAGCGACGCCUCGUGAGGGACGAAGGUCUUCGGAUUGUAAACCUCUUUCAGCAGGGACGAAGCGAAAGUGACGGUACCUGCAGAAGAAGCACCGGCUAACUAUGUGCCAGCAGCCGCGGUAAUACAUAGGGUGCAAGCGUUGUCCGGAUUUAUUGGGCGUAAAGAGUUCGUAGGCGGUUUUUCGCGUCGGAUGUGAAAACUCAGGGCUCAACCCUGAGCCUGCAUUCGAUACGGGAAGACUCGAGGACGGCAGGGGAGACUGGAACUUCUGGUGUAGCGGUGG